Molecule: non-coding RNA, 72 nt
Organism: Rattus norvegicus (Norway rat)
Lineage: Eukaryota; Metazoa; Chordata; Mammalia; Rodentia; Muridae
Source: Rfam
GGGGAUUUAGCUCAGUGGUAGAGCGCUUGCCUAGCAAGCACAAGAAGGCCCUGGGUUCGAUCCCCAGCUCCA